AACGAACGCUGGCGGCGUGGAUAAGACAUGCAAGUCGAACGCUGAUUGCAGGGUAGCAAUAUCUUGCAGUCGGAGUGGCGUAAGGGUGCGUAACACGUGGGUAAUCUGCCGUGAAGUUGGGGAUAACCCCGAGAAAUCGGGGCUAAUACCGAAUGUGGAUGUUUGAAGGCAUCUUUGAACAUCUGAAGCCGGGGACCGCAAGGCCUGGUGCUUUACGAUGAGCCCGCGACCUAUCAGCUAGUUGGUGAGGUAACGGCUCACCAAGGCUAAGACGGGUAGCUGGUCUGAGAGGACGACCAGCCACACUGGAACUGAGACACGGUCCAGACACCUACGGGAGGCUG
This 344-nucleotide ribosomal RNA is filed under the name uncultured Verrucomicrobiota bacterium. Its description in RNAcentral is "bacterial SSU rRNA". It matches the Rfam family "Bacterial small subunit ribosomal RNA", at positions 29 to 351 of the family's 1533-position model. Lineage: Bacteria; Pseudomonadati; Verrucomicrobiota. The record is from RNAcentral.